Molecule: long non-coding RNA, 835 nt
Organism: Calypte anna (Anna's hummingbird)
Lineage: Eukaryota; Metazoa; Chordata; Aves; Apodiformes; Trochilidae
Exons: 5
Source: RefSeq, a predicted model, not a curated record
AGUGUUCAAAGGCAGACCACCCACCACCCUGGUUUGUGUUUGCUCAUGUCAAAGGCAGCUCAUGCUAUGGGAAAAGCAGAGUGAGACCUACCUAGAGUGCUUCUGACAUCCCCCUUCAAAAAUACUGACAAAGAGCAACCACAGCAUCUGAAGAGAACUUUUCCAACCACAGGAGCAGAGACGUACUGGAAAGAGAAGAGCCUUAAUAUGUGUAAAUGAAGAAAUUACUUGAGGAGUACCCCUUCUUUUCUUCUCCUCUUUCACCUGAGAAGAUGACACUGGAUGUUCCCAGAAGCUUGCAAAGUUCAUGGGUUUGUGGAAACCUCUGCAUUACUGCAUGAAUAGAAGGAAACACAGAUGAUGGGAGAACAGAAAGUUGCUGGUCUGCAAGGAGCAACGUUUAGAGGAUGUGUCGUGGGCCAGAACCCAAGUGCAGGGCAAUAGUUUGCUGGGGCUUUGCACUUGGGAAUGGUUCCAAUAUCCUCUAUCUGCACUGCAGGUCCAGGCAGAAAGCUACACCUUCAAGUAUGCAGACAAGAUUUCACCAACAAUUGCUUGGAAAAUGAUAGCCUUCUGUAGCACCUCUCAAGGAAGAGAACAGAAAACUGAGAUCAGCCUCACUGAUGAUGAGUCAGAGAUGUGUCAGAGACUGGAAGUGUGAUAGCUGCUCUCCUGCAGCCACAGGCACCCAACCAGUGUUAUUUAUGUACCAUCGACAAGGAGACAUGCUCAGACUUGAAGGGCUAGUGCUGACCUUCCCUUGCCAAUCAUUUAUACACUCCUUGUUUUGAGUGCUCCACCUUAAGGUUUCUCAUGACUCACUUUCUCUCUGAAC